RNAcentral lists this ribosomal RNA (433 nucleotides) under uncultured bacterium. RNAcentral describes it as "partial 16S ribosomal RNA". It matches the Rfam family "Bacterial small subunit ribosomal RNA", at positions 29 to 507 of the family's 1533-position model. The record is from RNAcentral.
AACGAACGCUGGCGGCAUGCCUAACACAUGCAAGUCGAACGAGACCUUCGGGUCUAGUGGCGCACGGGUGCGUAACGCGUGGGAACCUGCCCUUAGGUUCGGAAUAACUCCCCGAAAGGGGUGCUAAUACCGGAUAAUGUCUUCGGACCAAAGAUUUAUCGCCUUUGGAUGGGCCCGCGUUGGAUUAGCUAGUUGGUAGGGUAAAAGCCUACCAAGGCGACGAUCCAUAGCUGGUCUGAGAGGAUGAUCAGCCCCACUGGGACUGAGACACGGCCCAGACUCCUACGGGAGGCAGCAGUGGGGAAUAUUGGACAAUGGGCGAAAGCCUGAUCCAGCAAUGCCGCGUGAGUGAUGAAGGCCUUAGGGUUGUAAAGCUCUUUUACCCGGGAUGAUAAUGACAGUACCGGGAGAAUAAGCUCCGGCUAACUCCGUG